Molecule: ribosomal RNA, 253 nt
Filed under: uncultured bacterium
Lineage: Bacteria
Description: partial 16S ribosomal RNA
Rfam family: Bacterial small subunit ribosomal RNA
Source: RNAcentral
UACGAAGGGGGCUAGCGUUGCUCGGAAUCACUGGGCGUAAAGGGUGCGUAGGCGGGUCUUUAAGUCAGGGGUGAAAUCCUGGAGCUCAACUGGGGAACUGCCUUUGAUACUGAAUGUCUCGAGUAAGGUAGGGGCAUGCGGAACUGAUGGUGGAGCGGUGAAAUGUGUUGAUAUCAUCAGGAACUCCGGUGGCGAAGGCGGCAUGCUGGACCUUCACUGACGCUGAGGCGCGAAAGCUAGGGGAGCGAACGGG